Molecule: unclassified non-coding RNA, 1021 nt
Filed under: Hevea brasiliensis (rubber tree)
Lineage: Eukaryota; Viridiplantae; Streptophyta; Magnoliopsida; Malpighiales; Euphorbiaceae
Source: RNAcentral
CGUGAUGCUUUCGUCAUUUGUUAACAUUUAACAAUGGUCACUGAAAGAACUUGUGACUUGUCCCAAGUCAGGGUCCGGUUGUCUUACGAACAGUUUGGUGCCUUUCUGGCAAAUGUUAAGGAAUUGAAUUCCCACAAACAAACAUUUGAUCCAGUGACACAUAAGCAGCUUCAGUGAACAUUACUUACGAAUGAUCAAUCCCUCAAAUAUUGCGUAAAGGUCCUUAUUAUCAGGGCCAAAAAUUUCAUCAGCCUUCCUCAGAGUCUCUUCUUUUGUUUGCUUGUGGGAAUUCAAUUCCUUAACAUUUGCCAGAAAGGCACCAAACUGUUCGUAAGACAACCGGACCCUGACUUGGCGGAAGAAUUCUUUCCCAUCCACACGAGUUCGUCCUGUCUGUGACCCUGUGUCAGAGCUUGACGCUGAACCAUGUUGGCCUGAUGGCAGAGAAGAAAAUAUCGAAGACCUAUCAUCAGGCAUCCCCCUUGAGGUAGAAAAUGACAUUGAAUGCCGUCUUGGGGACACUGGUUUAGAAGUUCUUGUUGGAGACACUGAAGCUGAAAAACUAGGAGGAGAACCUGGAGGAGUAAAUCGGGGAGUGCUUGUUUGGGAUGCUAGCAGAAUACUGCGUGAUAUGCCAGUUCUUGACACAUCUGUUCCACGAUCCUCUGCAAAUGAGUUUCCCAUUUCAGUGUAAUGGCUCCGCAUAGAAGAUGAUCUUGAAGGUGGCAAGGAGGCAUCAUCUUCGUUUGGUGUUGGCUUGGCAAUGAUAUGCAAAGCUCCUGAAGAAUUUUCUUCAUCCUCUUGAAGUGAUUGCAUGAGUGUCUUCCUGAACACCUCCAACUUGGAAACGUCUCUCUGCAGCUUCUUCACAGUGUUGGAUAAUGAAGCGUUCUCCUUCAACAAAUUCUCCUUUUCGAGACCAGCGAGGGCGAGUUUAUCAGCGGUAUCGGAAAGGGAGGUAUCAAAGGACCGAAUCUGAGAUUGGAGGUCGGCGAUGAGGUCAUCUUUCUCGGCGAGUUGA